Molecule: ribosomal RNA, 253 nt
Filed under: uncultured bacterium
Lineage: Bacteria
Description: partial 16S ribosomal RNA
Rfam family: Bacterial small subunit ribosomal RNA
Source: RNAcentral
UACGUAGGGGGCAAGCGUUGUCCGGAGUUACUGGGCGUAAAGCGCACGCAGGCGGUCUCUUAAGUUUGGAGUGACAGUUGGUGGCUUAACUGCCAAAGUGCUUCGAAAACUGAGAGACUUGAGGGCUUCAGAGGGACACGGAAUUCCGGGUGGAGUGGUGAAAUGCGUAGAGAUCCGGAGGAACACCAAAGGCGAAGGCACUCUACUGGGCCACAACUGACACUGAGAGACGAAAGCUAGGGGAGCGAAUGGG